Molecule: ribosomal RNA, 1548 nt
Filed under: Alcanivorax sp. HI0011
Lineage: Bacteria; Pseudomonadati; Pseudomonadota; Gammaproteobacteria; Oceanospirillales; Alcanivoracaceae
Description: bacterial LSU rRNA
Rfam family: Bacterial large subunit ribosomal RNA
Source: RNAcentral
GUUAUAUAGUCAAGUGAUUAAGCGUACACGGUGGAUGCCUUGGCAGCCAGAGGCGAUGAAGGACGUUGUAGCUUGCGAUAAGCUUCGGGGAGGUAGCAAACAACCUUUGAUCCGGAGAUUUCCGAAUGGGGAAACCCACCUGUCAUAAGGCAGGUAUCGCAUACUGAAUACAUAGGUAUGCGAGGCGAACGCGGGGAACUGAAACAUCUAAGUACCCGUAGGAACAGAAAUCAAUUGAGAUUCCGUCAGUAGCGGCGAGCGAACGCGGAUUAGCCCUUAAGUCUGUGAAAGAUUAGGAGAACGGUCUGGGAAGGCCGGCCAUAGUGGGUGAUAGCCCCGUAUCCGAAAAUCUGAUCAGGUGAAAUCGAGUAGGUCGGAGCACGUGAAACUCUGAUUGAACAUGGGGGGACCAUCCUCCAAGGCUAAAUACUCCUGGCUGACCGAUAGUGAACCAGUACCGUGAGGGAAAGGCGAAAAGAACCCCGGAGAGGGGAGUGAAAUAGAACCUGAAACCGUGUACGUACAAGCAGUCGGAGCCCUCUUUGUGGGGUGACGGCGUACCUUUUGUAUAAUGGGUCAGCGACUUAAUUUCAGUAGCGAGGUUAACCGUUUAGGGGAGCCGUAGGGAAACCGAGUCUUAAUAGGGCGUUUAGUUGCUGGGAUUAGACCCGAAACCGGGCGAUCUAUCCAUGGGCAGGUUGAAGAUGCGGUAACACGCAUUGGAGGACCGAACCGACUACCGUUGAAAAGUUAGCGGAUGACCUGUGGAUCGGAGUGAAAGGCUAAUCAAGCUCGGAGAUAGCUGGUUCUCCCCGAAAGCUAUUUAGGUAGCGCCUCGGACGAAUACCACUGGGGGUAGAGCACUGUUUCGGCUAGGGGGUCAUCCCGACUUACCAAACCGAUGCAAACUCCGAAUACCAGUGAGUACUAUCCGGGAGACACACGGCGGGUGCUAACGUCCGUCGUGAAGAGGGAAACAACCCAGACCGCCAGCUAAGGUCCCCAAAUUCCAGUUAAGUGGGAAACGAUGUGGGAAGGCUCAGACAGCUAGGAGGUUGGCUUAGAAGCAGCCACCCUUUAAAGAAAGCGUAAUAGCUCACUAGUCGAGUCGGCCUGCGCGGAAGAUGUAACGGGGCUCAAACUGGAUACCGAAGCUGCGGCAGCAGACUUGUUCUGCUGGGUAGGGGAGCGUUGUGUAAGCCUGUGAAGGUGUGUUGAGAAGCAUGCUGGAGGUAUCACAAGUGCGAAUGCUGACGUGAGUAACGAUAAUGGGGGUGAAAAACCCCCACGCCGAAAGACCAAGGUUUCCUGCGCAACGCUAAUCGGCGCAGGGUGAGUCGGCCCCUAAGGCGAGGCAGAAAUGCGUAGCUGAUGGGAAACGGGUUAAUAUUCCCGUACUUCUUAUAACUGCGAUGGAGAGACGGAGAAGGCUAUGCCUACCGGGCGUUGGUUGUCCCGGGGAAAGGCUGUAGGCUGAGGUGUUAGGCAAAUCCGGCACCUUAAGGCUGAGAGUCGAGACCACUGGUCCUUUGUGACCGGGAAGUGGUU